This 301-nucleotide ribosomal RNA is filed under the name uncultured bacterium. RNAcentral describes it as "partial 16S ribosomal RNA". It matches the Rfam family "Bacterial small subunit ribosomal RNA", at positions 509 to 807 of the family's 1533-position model. The record is from RNAcentral.
CAGUAGCCGCGGUAAAACGUAGGGUGCAAGCGUUAAUCGGAAUUACUGGGCGUAAAGCGUGCGUAGGCGGCUUCUUAAGUCGGAUGUGAAAUCCCUGAGCUUAACUUAGGAAUUGCAUUCGAUACUGGGAAGCUAGAGUAUGGGAGAGGAUGGUAGAAUUCCAGGUGUAGCGGUGAAAUGCGUAGAGAUCUGGAGGAAUACCGAUGGCGAAGGCAGCCAUCUGGCCUAAUACUGACGCUGAGGUACGAAAGCAUGGGGAGCAAACAGGAUUAGAGACCCCAGUAGUCCCUGUCUCUUAUAC